Molecule: ribosomal RNA, 855 nt
Filed under: Escherichia coli
Lineage: Bacteria; Pseudomonadati; Pseudomonadota; Gammaproteobacteria; Enterobacterales; Enterobacteriaceae
Description: partial 23S ribosomal RNA
Rfam family: Bacterial large subunit ribosomal RNA
Source: RNAcentral
AGUGGAAGCGUCUGGAAAGGCGCGCGAUACAGGGUGACAGCCCCGUACACAAAAAUGCACAUACUGUGAGCUCGAUGAGUAGGGCGGGACACGUGGUAUCCUGUCUGAAUAUGGGGGGACCAUCCUCCAAGGCUAAAUACUCCUGACUGACCGAUAGUGAACCAGUACCGUGAGGGAAAGGCGAAAAGAACCCCGGCGAGGGGAGUGAAAAAGAACCUGAAACCGUGUACGUACAAGCAGUGGGAGCCUCUUUAUGGGGUGACUGCGUACCUUUUGUAUAAUGGGUCAGCGACUUAUAUUCUGUAGCAAGGUUAACCGAAUAGGGGAGCCGAAGGGAAACCGAGUCUUAACUGGGCGUUAAGUUGCAGGGUAUAGACCCGAAACCCGGUGAUCUAGCCAUGGGCAGGUUGAAGGUUGGGUAACACUAACUGGAGGACCGAACCGACUAAUGUUGAAAAAUUAGCGGAUGACUUGUGGCUGGGGGUGAAAGGCCAAUCAAACCGGGAGAUAGCUGGUUCUCCCCGAAAGCUAUUUAGGUAGCGCCUCGUGAAUUCAUCUCCGGGGGUAGAGCACUGUUUCGGCAAGGGGGUCAUCCCGACUUACCAACCCGAUGCAAACUGCGAAUACCGGAGAAUGUUAUCACGGGAGACACACGGCGGGUGCUAACGUCCGUCGUGAAGAGGGAAACAACCCAGACCGCCAGCUAAGGUCCCAAAGUCAUGGUUAAGUGGGAAACGAUGUGGGAAGGCCCAGACAGCCAGGAUGUUGGCUUAGAAGCAGCCAUCAUUUAAAGAAAGCGUAAUAGCUCACUGGUCGAGUCGGCCUGCGCGGAAGAUGUAACGGGGCUAAACCAUG